CCUACGGGUGGCAGCAGUGAGGAAUAUUGGUCAAUGGGCGCGAGCCUGAACCAGCCAAGUAGCGUGAAGGAUGACUGCCCUACGGGUUGUAAACUUCUUUUAUAAAGGAAUAAAGUGAGGCACGUGUGCCUUGUUGUAUGUACUUUAUGAAUAAGGAUCGGCUAACUCCGUGCCAGCAGCCGCGGUAAUACGGAGGAUCCGAGCGUUAUCCGGAUUUAUUGGGUUUAAAGGGAGCGUAGAUGGGUUGUUAAGUCAGUGGUGAAAGUGUGCGGCUCAACCCUAAAAUUGCCAUUGAUACUGGCAGCCUUGAGUACGGUUGAGGUAGGCGGAAUUCGUGGUGUAGCGGUGAAAUGCUUAGAUAUCACGAAGAACUCCGAUUGCGAAGGCAGCUUACUAACUUGACACUGACGUUGAUGCUCGAAAGUGUGGGUAUCAAACAGGAUUAGAUACCCCAGUAGUC
Molecule: ribosomal RNA, 460 nt
Filed under: uncultured bacterium
Lineage: Bacteria
Description: partial 16S ribosomal RNA
Rfam family: Bacterial small subunit ribosomal RNA
Source: RNAcentral